GGGGAAUUUUGGACAAUGGGCGCAAGCCUGAUCCAGCCAUGCCGCGUGUCUGAAGAAGGCCUUCGGGUUGUAAAGGACUUUUGUCAGGGAAGAAAAGGGCGGGGUUAAUACCCCUGUCUGAUGACGGUACCUGAAGAAUAAGCACCGGCUAACUACGUGCCAGCAGCCGCGGUAAUACGUAGGGUGCGAGCGUUAAUCGGAAUUACUGGGCGUAAAGCGGGCGCAGACGGUUACUUAAGCAGGAUGUGAAAUCCCCGGGCUCAACCUGGGAACUGCGUUCUGAACUGGGUGACUAGAGUGUGUCAGAGGGAGGUAGAAUUCCACGUGUAGCAGUGAAAUGCGUAGAGAUGUGGAGGAAUACCGAUGGCGAAGGCAGCCUCCUGGGAUAACACUGACGUUCAUGCCCGAAAGCGUGGGUAGCAAACAGGAUUAGAUACCCUGGUAGUCCACGCCCUAAACGAUGUCGAUUAGCUGUUGGGCAGCUUGACUGCUUAGUAGCGAAGCUAACGCGUGAAAUCGACCGCCUGGGGUGUACGGUCGCAAGAUUA
RNAcentral lists this ribosomal RNA (548 nucleotides) under uncultured bacterium. Its description in RNAcentral is "bacterial SSU rRNA". It matches the Rfam family "Bacterial small subunit ribosomal RNA", at positions 356 to 896 of the family's 1533-position model. The record is from RNAcentral.